AAAAUGGAUAAAAAAAUAACUCUAAAAAUGGAGCUGAUACACUGCAACUGCAACUGCAGCCAUCAACUAUUAGCUAUAUUUUUUUAAACUUAUCAAACACUCUAAUUCACCUGAUUGGGUGUCUAUCAGCUAUGUGCUGCACCCAACAGGUGAACCAAACACCUUCUGGAUCUAUCAUUGAUCCAAAACAUAAAAUAUAUAGUAUGAAUCAUUUAUUAAAUAUAUAAAUCUCACAUAAUUAUAUCUUGAAUCCAUAAUGAAGGGGUCUAAGCAAAAAUUCCCCCCAAAGAGAAAUGCCCUUUCUGCUUUUUAUUAUGUGUUUUCACUAUCAGUCUUAUCUGAACCCACGCUGAAUUAAGCAUUGGUUAUGAUAGAAGCAGGAGAUGUUAUUUAUUACUGAACACUGCUAUAGCAAACUUUUGAAGCAUAUAAAACCGAAUAUAGUGGGCAUAUAGUUACAUUAUUGUAAAAACUAAAUAGAUAGAUAUUAUAGUAUUCCGGUAUGAACUGUUCUGGCUGAAGAUAUGGGACUAGAAGUACAAUAUUUCUUCAGGUAUCUAGUUGGGAACCCAAACAACGUGGUCCUGAGGAAGGAAAUGGCAAACAGGAACUGUUCCUGGCUUGACCUUGAGCACCUGGAAAGCCAAAUGCUUUGGGUUCCAAGCUGAUGUAUCUGUAUGGCAUACUGCUACUGCUUGAGCCUUUGAUCCAUCAGCACCCUCUAAGGAAACCAUGUAAGCCCUCGUGGUUUGUGUUGCAUGGCAAUAAAAGACAGCAUAUGCAUAGUUCUGCUUGUGACACACCACGGAUUUGUCACCCGCCAUCUUCUUUGUUCCAUCUGUAAUUGUAUACUUCUGCAGCUGGGUUUGGUGUUCGGCCACUGUGGAGACUGCCUGGACAUUCUUUCCAAGUACAGAAGUGCUGAAGUCAAUCAUCGACUCUAGCGAAGUUGCGCAAUAUUUCACCUCUCCUUUAAUACCAGGUUCUUCACACUCUCUGAUUGUAUUCUUUAUUAUCUCGGCUUCCAUUGAUCCUUCUUUUACUGAAAACUGGUUAUAAAUCUCUGGCAACUUGUCAGAUGAAUAAGGUAUCGAAUUGGCAGUUUACAUUUACUCCACCCUUCCCGACGUUAACAGAAGUGCCACCAGGUUUUCCUUUACUUGCAUUAACAUUUACACCUCCCUUUCCUACAC
RNAcentral lists this unclassified non-coding RNA (1193 nucleotides) under Hevea brasiliensis (rubber tree). Lineage: Eukaryota; Viridiplantae; Streptophyta; Magnoliopsida; Malpighiales; Euphorbiaceae. The record is from RNAcentral.